AACAGGAAAGGAUAUUUCUCCUUCAAUGUGCAGGCAAUCACAGGACCUGAACUCCAAUUUUUUGAUUUAGUUGCAAGCUGGCCGGGCUCUGCACAUGACAGCAGGAUUUUUGACAACAGCAAUGCGAGAGUACGUUAUGAGGAAGGGGAUGUACCUGGCGUACUCCUCGGCGACAUGGGGUAUGCUUGCCGGCCAUACCUUAUGACGCCGCUAAAAGAUCCUGGAGGCAAAGACAGCCCGGAGUACAGGUAUAACAAAUCCCAAAUCCGGACCAGGAACAGCGUCGAAAGGGCUUUCGGCAUCUGGAAAAGAAGAUUUCCAUGUCUUGAUAUGAAGCUACAAAUAGAAACAACAACUUCUGUCGUUGUCAUCACGGCAUGUGCAGCUCUGCACAACUUUGGCCGGAACCGUCCAAGUGAUGAACUGCCUCCAGACACAUGCAAUGUUCAGCAGCCUUCCCCAGCUUCACAAGCUCAAGGACCACAGCCCGUUGACUCGGCGAGCGGCUUCAGAACACGAGCACGCAUUAUUCAGCAAUAUUUUUCCUAAAAUGUGGUAGAGCAAAACAGGGCAUGCAUAUUGAAAAUAAAGAAAUUGUACCAUUUUACUUACUGGCUUU
This is a long non-coding RNA of Dermacentor silvarum, 619 nucleotides long. RefSeq lists it as uncharacterized. The record is from RefSeq and is a predicted model, not a curated record. Lineage: Eukaryota; Metazoa; Arthropoda; Arachnida; Ixodida; Ixodidae. The transcript is spliced from 3 exons.